RNAcentral lists this ribosomal RNA (669 nucleotides) under archaeon enrichment culture clone A21H81. RNAcentral's name for it is "bacterial SSU rRNA". It matches the Rfam family "Archaeal small subunit ribosomal RNA", at positions 21 to 696 of the family's 1478-position model. The record is from RNAcentral.
GGUUACUGCUAUCGAGGUUCGACUAAGCCAUGCGAGUCGAAUGUAGCAAUACAUGGCGAACUGCUCAGUAACACGUGGACAACCUGCCCUUAGGACGGGGAUAAACCCGGGAAACUGGGUAUAAUACCCGAUAGGUCUCGAUUGCUGGAAUGCAUCGAGAUUUAAAGCUCCGGCGCCUAAGGAUGGGUCUGCGGCCUAUCAGGUAGUAGUGGGUGUAGCGUACCUACUAGCCUACGACGGGUACGGGUUGUGAGAGCAAGAGCCCGGAGAUGGAUUCUGAGACACGAAUCCAGGCCCUACGGGGUGCAGCAGGCGCGAAAACUUUACAAUGCUGGCAACAGCGAUAAGGGAACCUCGAGUGCCAGGUUACAAAUCUGGCUGUCGAGAUGCCUAAAAAGCAUUUCAUAGCAAGGGCCGGGCAAGACCGGUGCCAGCCGCCGCGGUAACACCGGCGGCUCGAGUGGUAACCGUUAUUAUUGGGUCUAAAGGGUCUGUAGCCGGCCGGAUAAGUCUCUUGAGAAAUCUGGCAGCUUAACUGUCAGGCUUUCAGGAGAUACUGUCUGGCUCGAGGCCGGGAGAGGUGAGAGGUACUUCAGGGGUAGGGGUGAAAUCUUGUAAUCCUUGAAGGACCACCAGUGGCGAAGGCGUCUCACCAGAACGGACCUGACG